CUGAAGAACCUUGAUGUCAUUAAUUUGGUGUCUUGGGGAAUCAGGACUGUUACUUUGAAAAAAUUAGAGUGUUUAAAGCAGGCAUACGCUUGAAUACAUUAGCAUGGAAUAAUGAAAUAGGACGUUUGAUUCUAUUUUGUUGGUUUCUAGGAUCGACGUAAUGAUUAAUAGGGAUAGUUGGGGGCAUUAGUAUUCAAUUGUCAGAGGUGAAAUUCUUGGAUUUAUUGAAGACUA
Molecule: ribosomal RNA, 234 nt
Filed under: uncultured Glomus
Lineage: Eukaryota; Fungi; Glomeromycota; Glomeromycetes; Glomerales; Glomeraceae
Description: partial 18S ribosomal RNA
Rfam family: Eukaryotic small subunit ribosomal RNA (bases 32-234)
Source: RNAcentral